CGCCGACGGGGCGCCGGCCGGUUAUGAGCUCCAGUAGGACUACGCCGAAGCUGUAGACGUCGCUCUUCUCGUCUACUUUCAAGGUGUACGCAUACUCUGCAGCUCGAUCAGAAACAAAAGAUUUAGCUUUCACAAGAACCGACGCUUGUUACGUCAGCCUCAGAUUCAGUGCGAUUUCCCAUGAAAAUCCCUAAGCUCCGCUCUACUUUCUGCGCCACAAUUCACGAAAAGUAAAAGACAGAAGAUGGAAGAAAGAAUUAUACCUGGAGCAAUGUAACCGUAAGAUCCUGCUAUUGCUGACAUGCAUUGUGAGGCACCUCCAUCCACCAAGAAUUUGGCGAGCCCAAAAUCGGCAACAUGAGCUUCAAAGCUCGAGUUCAACAGUAUGUUGUUGGAUUUAACAUCCCGAUGAACGAUCAAAGGCGAACAGUCGUGGUGCAGAUAGCACAGACCUUUGGCUGCAUCCAGUGCAAUUUUGUACCUCAAGUUCCAGCUCAAGAAUCCACCUUUUUUUCCAUGAAGGGCCUCUCCCAAGCUUCCAUUCCUCAUAUAUUCAUAAACAAGAAGAUUUGUGUCCUUGUUGGAACAGAAAGCCAGGAGCCUGACAAUGUUCCUGUGCCUGAUGUUACCUAGUGUCCGAAUCUCAGCUUUAAAGCCAUGAUCAUGGCCGCUGGUGCUGUUGAAUCCCAGCAAUUUCUUAAUUGCAAUCUCAACUCCAUUUGGCAUUUUACCAUAGUAGACAAUCCCAGCUCCCCCCCGGCCGAUCACGUUGCCAUCUUUGACACACUCCAGGACAUCAGAGACUGAGAAAUCAAGUUUUUGGAAGGCUGUCAUUUUCCAGGAAUUCGAAUCAUUCUUUUUGAAUGACUUAGCCUUGAUUAUGGCUGCUGCUGCAAAUGCUAGGGAACACAUUAACAGGCCGAGGGCGAAGAUUAGCUUGAAUGCUCCCUGGGAUUUUCCAGGUGCACUUGUGGUUAUUCUAAAAUUGCAGGGAUUUUGAAGUGGAGGUCCACAGAGUUGAGGAUUACCAACAAAAGAAGAUGAAUUGAAAACCGAAAACUGGCCAAAUUCGGGGAGCUUGCCGGAGAAAUCAUUGAAUGAAAAAUCAGCUAUUAUGAGACUCCUCAUGGAGCCAAUUGAUUGGGGUAUGGCUUCGCUCAAGUGGUUUCUUGAUAGGUUCAAGUAGUUCAAUAUUCGGAUCUUGGAUAUUUCUUGUGGAAUUGAACCAGAAAGGUUGUUCUGGCUUAAGUCCAGGUAAUUGAGAUGAACACAACUCCCGAUUUCAUGUGGGAUUUCUCCAGUGAAAGUGUUUCCACUCAGGUCAAGCCGUACUACUUGGUGAAGCUCACCUAUGGAAGGAGGAACCGGACCAGAAAAAUUGUUUCCUCUAAGGACUAGAAUUUGGAGUGAAGAAAGGUUUGAAAUGGAAAACGGCAAGGGCCCUGAGAGCUGGUUAUUGGACAGGUUCAUUUGGCCUAACUUGGAUUGGUUCGAUGAAGAAUCUUUGUUUUCAGGUAAGAAACCAGACAGCAUAUUAUUCUGCAGUUCAAGAAAGUUUAGUUCCGGGAGGUAAAUAAAACCUCGUGGAAUGCUACCAUUUAAGUAGUUCUGCCCCAGCCUCACCCUAACAAGACUUGUACACAAGCCUAAGCCUUCUGGGAUCGGCCCAAAAAGAAAGUUCUUGUGAAGAAUUAAUAUGCUGAGCUGGGUAGAGGCGCACAAGUAUUCAGGGAUUGUACCAGUGAGUUUGUUUGAAGACAAAUCCAGAUUCUGCAGCCUCUGAUUCUGGCCAAGAUUCCUUGGGAUCGUACCUGUGAAGUUGUUUGUCCAGAGAGCAAGAGUUUCCAGUUCUGGAUAGUCAGCAACAAACUCUGGUAUUGAUCCAUGGAAUCUGUUUAUGAACAGAUUGAGAAGCCUGAUUUGCUUGAGGUACGCAAGCUCAUAUGGGAUUUCUCCACUGAAUUGGUUCAAAGAAAGAUCAAGAUUUACCAGGCCCGUCAAGUUGCCUAAUUCCUUGGGGAUUUGCCCUGAGAGUCGAUUGACAUGCAGAAACAAUGUGUCCAAGAACUUUAGGCUCCCCAGCUCUGGAGGGAUUGGACCAUCCAAGUCACAAGUUGAAAGAUCCAGAUGGACCAAAUUUGACAACUUCCCGAGCUCUCUUGGAAUUCCACCUUGGUAAGAAUUGUAAUAUCCCAAGUAAAGCUCCCUCAAGUUGGUUAGAUUUCCCAAUUCUUGUGGGAUUGCACCUUCCAGGUCAUUCCCAGCCAAUGACAGGUACUCCAGUGUAAAGAUAUUCCCGAAGCUGCCUGGAAUUCUUCCAUAGAAAUAGUUCCCUCCCAGCUCCAAGUGCCUGAGGUUCUUCAAACUUGAGAGACCAAGUGGAAGGUAACCGGAGAAAUUGUUGUUAUAUGCGUCGAAUGAUUCUAAAUCGGGUAUGCUGGAGUAGUCCCAAUCCAAGCUGCCACUGAACUGGUUGUUGGAUAUGUUGAGAAACCGAAGAGAGCUCAUAUUCUCAACCUUGAUCUCUCCUGUGAAGUUGUUUCCAUCAAUGUAAAACUCCAUAAGCCUGUCCAGCUUCAAUACUUCAUCUGAAACAGAGCCAUAGAGACCCAUACUUGAUAAGUUGAGAGAAACCACUCUGUCACGGGCGCAUUUGAUUCCUCCCCAUGAACAGACUGAAGUGGAAUCAGAAGAAUUCCACGUGCUUAAAUCCAUGUCGCUCGAGUAUUGAAAUCCUUGUUUCAGUGAGACUAACACUUGAAAAUCAGAAAUGAGGGAAGAAGAAGAAGAUGAAGAAGAAGAAGGAAGAGGAAUGGUGGCAAGUGAGAUGACAACUAGUGUUGAAACAACGAAGGCAGCCAUAGUUCCUGGGAAAUGUUUCAUGGAAAGCGAUAAGUUUGGAAGGGCUUGAAGAAAAUACAAAGGAUUAUAACAGGCUGCCCGGUGAGGAGAUUACCAGUAAAGGAAAGAAAAAAAGUAGAGGGAAUCUGAGGAAACCAUUCAAGCUUGUAUCUGUUUAAAGAAUCAAUCAUCUUGUAAAGAGAGUAUUCGACCUCAAGGAAGAAGCUACCUCUUCCCUUUUCUCCCUCCUGCUUUACUUGUCUUCCUUGUGUUUGUUUUUUUCUUCCUUUCAGCUCACAAGAGAUGAAUGAGAUCAGACCAGCUAAUUUGUUGUGUAAAUUUGUUUUGCAGAGAUUUAUGAUGAACUUAUGAAAUAAAAGGACACCAGACAAACGAAGCAGAUGGUGAACUUGAAAUGGGAGGAGGGGGGCACACCCAAAAGAAGGCAAAAACCAGCCGUUGGAUGACACGGAUUUAAGGGUCAGAUUUGAUGCAACAAGAUGAGAAAAAAAAAAAAGUAAAAUGGCUUCUGGCUCUGGUACAUCAUCAGGAGAUCCCCAUGAAGGUAAAAAAACAUCUGAUCUGAUCUGAUGAUCAUCAUCAUCUUCAAGUGUAAGGAUAAAAAGUUUGGGUGUGGUGGGGUGGGGGACAUGAGAUGAGAUGAGACGAGAGACCUGCUGCCAAUGCCAUGGAGCAAUACUGGGCUGGGCUGGGUUGGGUUGUAGUACCCCCAAAAAAGGAAAUCAAAAUGGGGAGUUUGUUUAAAGCUUUAUCAGAGUUUUAGAAGAUGGAAUAGUCCUAAAGAGAGUGAGUGAGCGCUGGCAAAAAAGCAAAAGCAGUGAGGUGAAAUAAUAUUUGAAAAUUGAUAUGGGAGUCCAAACUCGCUUUAAAAAACGAAAAAAAAGGCUUCAAAAGCGAUGCCGGCCGCGCGGAAAGCGAUGGCGUCUGCACGGAAAUUUGAGCGAAGCGGAAUUCUAUGUCCUUUAAUCCGUGAGCGGCGGCUGCAAUUAUGAGCACGGAAGGCUAUGCAUGGAAGUGAGCGAAGCGGCGGCCGGUGCGGAAUUUAAGCGGCGGUUUGCGCGGACUCCAUGAGCGGCGGUCGCAUUAAUUUUCGUUGCAUUUAUUAUCGCUGGGUCAACGGCUGCAUUUAAUGCCCAGGAUCCUUCAACUCUGCAUUUAUUUCUGCACUCUCUCAAUUCCCAUAUUUAAUUCAUGGACUACUUUUUAGCCAAUUUUUGGCUAUUUUUGUGUAAUUUUUAUUCUAAAACAUUCUAGAAAAUAGGUAGUUAUUAGUAGCUAUUUUUAGAGUUAGUUAUUUAUGGUUAUUUUUAGACGCAGUUAGUAGCUAUUUUUAGAGUUAGUUA
Molecule: long non-coding RNA, 4205 nt
Organism: Andrographis paniculata
Lineage: Eukaryota; Viridiplantae; Streptophyta; Magnoliopsida; Lamiales; Acanthaceae
Exons: 6
Source: RefSeq, a predicted model, not a curated record